Molecule: ribosomal RNA, 548 nt
Filed under: Priestia megaterium
Lineage: Bacteria; Bacillati; Bacillota; Bacilli; Caryophanales; Bacillaceae
Description: bacterial SSU rRNA
Rfam family: Bacterial small subunit ribosomal RNA
Source: RNAcentral
CAGGAUUAGUACUGUCAGUCGAGCGAACUGAUUAGAAGCUUGCUUCUAUGACGUUAGCGGCGGACGGGUGAGUAACACGUGGGCAACCUGCCUGUAAGACUGGGAUAACUUCGGGAAACCGAAGCUAAUACCGGAUAGGAUCUUCUCCUUCAUGGGAGAUGAUUGAAAGAUGGUUUCGGCUAUCACUUACAGAUGGGCCCGCGGUGCUUUAGCUAGUUGGUGAGGUAACGGCUCACCAAGGCAACGAUGCAUAGCCGACCUGAGAGGGUGAUCGGCCACACUGGGACUGAGACACGGCCCAGACUCCUACGGGAGGCAGCAGUAGGGAAUCUUCCGCAAUGGACGAAAGUCUGACGGAACAACGCCGCGUGAGUGAUGAAGGCUUUCGGGUCGUAAAACUCUGUUGUUAAGGAAGAACAAGUACCAAAAUAACUGCUUGGACCUUGGCGGGACCUAACCAGAAAUCCACGGGUAACUAAGUGCCCACAGCCGCGGUAAGUCCUAGGGGGGCAGCGCGUAUCCAGAAAUAUUGGGCGUAGAGUGGGGGC